GUGCUCGCUUUGGCAGCAAAUAUACUAAAAUUGGAACUAUAGGGAGAAGAUUAGCAUGGCCCUUGCACAAGGAUGACAUGCAAAUCUAUGAAGUGUUCCCUAUUUUU
This is a small nuclear RNA of Bison bison bison, 107 nucleotides long. The record is from Ensembl. NCBI's taxonomy places the organism in Eukaryota, Metazoa, Chordata, Mammalia, Artiodactyla, Bovidae.